UACGAAGGGGGCUAGCGUUGUUCGGAAUUACUGGGCGUAAAGCGCGUGUAGGCGGGUCUUUAAGUCGGGGGUGAAAUGCCAAGGCUCAACCUUGGAACUGCCUUUGAUACUGGAGACCUUGAGUCCGGGAGAGGUGAGUGGAAUUGCGAGUGUAGAGGUGAAAUUCGUAGAUAUUCGCAAGAACACCAGUGGCGAAGGCGGCUCACUGGCCCGGAACUGACGCUGAGACGCGAAAGCGUGGGGAGCAAACAGG
This 253-nucleotide ribosomal RNA is filed under the name uncultured bacterium. RNAcentral's name for it is "partial 16S ribosomal RNA". It matches the Rfam family "Bacterial small subunit ribosomal RNA", at positions 524 to 776 of the family's 1533-position model. The record is from RNAcentral.